AGAGUUUGAUCCUGGCUCAGGAUGAACGCUAGCUACAGGCUUAACACAUGCAAGUCGAGGGGCAUCAGGAAGAAAGCUUGCUUUCUUUGCUGGCGACCGGCGCACGGGUGAGUAACACGUAUCCAACCUGCCCUUUACUCGGGGAUAGCCUUUCGAAAGAAAGAUUAAUACCCGAUGGCAUAAUGAUUCCGCAUGGUUUCAUUAUUAAAGGAUUCCGGUAAAGGAUGGGGAUGCGUUCCAUUAGGUUGUUGGUGAGGUAACGGCUCACCAAGCCUUCGAUGGAUAGGGGUUCUGAGAGGAAGGUCCCCCACAUUGGAACUGAGACACGGUCCAAACUCCUACGGGAGGCAGCAGUGAGGAAUAUUGGUCAAUGGGCGCUAGCCUGAACCAGCCAAGUAGCGUGAAGGAUGAAGGCUCUAUGGGUCGUAAACUUCUUUUAUAUAAGAAUAAAGUGCAGUAUGUAUACUGUUUUGUAUGUAUUAUAUGAA
Molecule: ribosomal RNA, 488 nt
Filed under: Bacteroides fragilis
Lineage: Bacteria; Pseudomonadati; Bacteroidota; Bacteroidia; Bacteroidales; Bacteroidaceae
Description: bacterial SSU rRNA
Rfam family: Bacterial small subunit ribosomal RNA
Source: RNAcentral